This 75-nucleotide transfer RNA is filed under the name Candidatus Heimdallarchaeota archaeon. Its description in RNAcentral is "tRNA-Arg". It matches the Rfam family "tRNA". From Rfam's summary of the family: Transfer RNA (tRNA) molecules are approximately 80 nucleotides in length. Their secondary structure includes four short double-helical elements and three loops (D, anti-codon, and T loops). Lineage: Archaea; Promethearchaeati; Candidatus Heimdallarchaeota. The record is from RNAcentral.
GGGCCCUUAGCUCAGCAUGGAAAGAGCGCUUGCUUCCGGAGUAAGAUGUCGUGAGUUCAAAUCUCACAGGGCCCG